AGUGAACGCUGGCGGUAGGCCUAACACAUGCAAGUCGAACGGCAGCACAGUAAGAGCUUGCUCUUACGGGUGGCGAGUGGCGGUCGGGUGAGGAAUACAUCGGAAUCUACUUUUUCGUGGGGGAUAACGUAGGGAAACUUACGCUAAUACCGCAUACGACCUACGGGUGAAAGCAGGGGAUCUUCGGACCUUGCGCGAUUGAGUGAGCCGAUGUCGGAUUAGCUAGUUGGCGGGGUAAAGGCCCACCAAGGCGACGAUCCGUAGCUGGUCUGAGAGGAUGAUCAGCCACACUGGAACUGAGACACGGUCCAGACUCCUACGGGAGGCAGCAGUGGGGAAUAUUGGACAAUGGGCGCAAGCCUGAUCCAGCCAUACCGCGUGGGUGAAGAAGGCCUUCGGGUUGUAAAGCCCUUUUGUUGGGAAAGAAAAGCAGCAGGUUAAUACCCCGCUGUUCUGACGGUACCCAAAGAAUAAGCACCGGCUAACUUCGUG
RNAcentral lists this ribosomal RNA (492 nucleotides) under uncultured bacterium. RNAcentral describes it as "partial 16S ribosomal RNA". It matches the Rfam family "Bacterial small subunit ribosomal RNA", at positions 29 to 507 of the family's 1533-position model. The record is from RNAcentral.